UCCCCGGGCGUCGAACAGUCAGCUCAGA
Molecule: small nuclear RNA, 28 nt
Filed under: Arabidopsis thaliana (thale cress)
Lineage: Eukaryota; Viridiplantae; Streptophyta; Magnoliopsida; Brassicales; Brassicaceae
Description: snRNA_05365
Source: RNAcentral